UAAUCUGUGGACAUAUCCUCAUCUAGUUAUUGUAGACUAACACUUGAUUGCUUAGAAUCACUCGUUGUCACAUGCCUGACUACAUCACCAUCCCUUCUCGGAACUUAUUACUUGACUUCUUAUCAAAUU
Populus trichocarpa (black cottonwood) is the source of this 129-nucleotide non-coding RNA. The record is from Rfam. NCBI's taxonomy places the organism in Eukaryota, Viridiplantae, Streptophyta, Magnoliopsida, Malpighiales, Salicaceae.